CCUUGGAGACAGUCCUCCCUGUUUGCCACUUUGCUUGCGAGAGCAGAGCAGAGCGAAGAGCGAAGAGCGAAGAGCGGGAGGGGGGCGAUGUGCUCCCAUUUUCCCCGCCUGGCCGCGCGCACAGCCCGCAGGCUUCUGCCCCGCCCGCGGCUCCACCCCCUCGGAACCGCAGCCUCCGUCUCGGAGGGGUGAGGGUUUGGACUGGAUGCUCUGGCCCUGCCAAGGCUGCCUUCCUGGGAUCCAUCUGUUCGCUAAGCCAGGAGGCCUGGGUACCCAUUGUGGGUAAAGCCAAGAGCCCCCCCUCUCUACGGAGUCCUGGGCGUCACGAAGGCCUUAAGUGGAACAGGCGGAGGACAGGUGGUGUAAGGUGACACGAGAGGACCCAGUAAGAUUUCAGGGGUUUGGUGGCAGCAGUAGAAACCGAGCCAGACGAAAGGAAAGCUCCAGAGUAGGGCCAGGGCAAGCUCCUGAGAACUGGGGCUGACUUUCACGGUUAUCUGCUGGGAGAACCUUCCACGGAGGCGGCGGAGAUGCGCGGGAAGGAAAGAGGAGCCUGGGCCUCCAUUUCCUCUUGGGGAGAGUGGAGCUAACAAGUCUUGCCAAUAAGCCCAUGGAAAGAUGUUCACCGUCAUUAGUCAUUAGAGAAAUGCAAACGAAAACCACAACGAGAGAUCACUUCGCAUCUACCAGGAUGCCUAUCAUCAAAGGACAGAGAAAACCUGAAUGAAUCAAGUUUCCACGUUGUAAGCUGCCGGAUGGAGAAGCCCAUGUGACAAUGAACUGAUGGCAGCUUGCAUCCAACAGGCAAGAAACUAACCACUAUUUAGAAUCAUGUGAGUGAUCUCAGAAGCCCUCCUCCUCCAGACCAGACUCGAGGUGACUGCUACUGUAGCCAAGACCUUGCACUAGAGGAUCUAGCCAAGUGGUCUGGAUUCCUGACACAAAGAGCCAUGAGAUAAUAAAUGCUGUUAUAUUUUAAGCCA
Molecule: long non-coding RNA, 983 nt
Organism: Neogale vison (American mink)
Lineage: Eukaryota; Metazoa; Chordata; Mammalia; Carnivora; Mustelidae
Exons: 2
Source: RefSeq, a predicted model, not a curated record